This 497-nucleotide ribosomal RNA is filed under the name uncultured bacterium. RNAcentral describes it as "partial 16S ribosomal RNA". It matches the Rfam family "Bacterial small subunit ribosomal RNA", at positions 28 to 507 of the family's 1533-position model. The record is from RNAcentral.
GAUGAACGCUGGCGGCGUGCCUAAUACAUGCCAGUCGAGCGAACAGAUGAGGAGCUUGCUCCUCUGACGUUAGCGGCGGACGGGUGAGUAACACGUGGAUAACCUACCUAUAAGACUGGGAUAACUUCGGGAAACCGGAGCUAAUACCGGAUAAUAUAUUGAACCGCAUGGUUCAAUAGUGAAAGACGGUUUUGCUGUCACUUAUAGAUGUAUCCGCGCCGCAUUAGCUAGUUGGUAAGGUAACGGCUUACCAAGGCAACGAUGCGUAGCCGACCUGAGAGGGUGAUAGGCCACACGGGAAGUGAGACACGGACCAGACUCCUACGGGAGGGAGCAGUAGGGAAUCUUCCGCAAUGGGCGAAAGCCUGACGGAGCAACGCCGCGUGAGUGAUGAAGGUCUUCGGAUCGUAAAACUCUGUUAUUAGGGAAGAACAAAUGUGUAAGUAACUAUGCACGUCUUGACGGUACCUAAUCAGAAAGCCACGGCUAACUACGUG